This 253-nucleotide ribosomal RNA is filed under the name uncultured bacterium. Its description in RNAcentral is "partial 16S ribosomal RNA". It matches the Rfam family "Bacterial small subunit ribosomal RNA", at positions 524 to 776 of the family's 1533-position model. The record is from RNAcentral.
GACAGAGGGUGCAAACGUUGUUCGGAAUUACUGGGCGUAAAGCGAGUGUAGGCGGUCUCAUAAGUCGGAUGUGAAAGCCCUUGGCUCAACUGAGGAAGUGCAUCCGAAACUGGCAGGCUAGAGUACUAAAGAGGGUCGCGGAAUUCCCGGUGUAGAGGUGAAAUUCGUAGAUAUCGGGAGGAACACCGGUGGCGAAGGCGGCGACCUGGGUAGAUACUGACGCUGAGGUGCGAAAGCGUGGGGAGCAAACAGG